AAUUUAAGCAUAUAAUUAAGCGGAGGAAAGAAACUAACCAGGAUUCCCCUAGUAAGGGCGACUGAAGCGGGAAUAGCUCACACUGUGAAUCUGCGCAUUGCGCCGAAUUGUGGUCUGUAGAAGUAUGUGUUUGGCACGCCGGGCCAAGUUCCUUGGAACAGGGCAGCUAAGAGGGUGAGACUCCCGUAAUUGCCCGGGCUGAGGCCAUUUGACACUUGCUUUCGACGAGUCGAGUUGUUUGGGAUUGCAGCUCAAAGUCGGUGGUAAAUUCCAUCUAAAGCUAAAUAUGGGUGGGAGACCGAUAGCGUACAAGUACCGUGAGGGAAAGAUGCAAAGAACUUUGAAAAGAGAGUUAAAGAGUACCUGAAAUUGCUGAAAGGGAAGCGAAGGAAACCAGUGAUUUGCUUUGUCAUAUUUCUCCUCCCGCUUGCGGGUGGGGCGCUGUGGCKCUGCAUGUGUCAUUUUUGGCUGGCCUCGACAGAAACCUGGCUUUGGGAGGUAGGUCCAUUGGGCUGAUACCAUUGCCGUGUGUGUCGGGGGCGACUGAGGUUGACGAAAUGGUUUUCUUUACCCCGUCUAGAAACACGGACCAAGGAGUCUAACAUAUGUGCGAGUACAGGGGUGGCAAACCCCCGUGCGGAAUGAAAGUGACAGUGGUUGGACCUUUGGGCACAAUCCGCCGGCCUCAAUCCUUCGGGAGAACGGUCUGAGUGUGAGCAUACAUGUUGGGACCCGAAAGUUGGUGAACUAUGUUGAGUAGGGUAAAGCCAGGG
This 773-nucleotide ribosomal RNA is filed under the name Talaroneis posidoniae. RNAcentral's name for it is "LSU rRNA". It matches the Rfam family "Eukaryotic large subunit ribosomal RNA", at positions 31 to 857 of the family's 3401-position model. Lineage: Eukaryota; Bacillariophyta; Plagiogrammaphyceae; Plagiogrammales; Plagiogrammaceae. The record is from RNAcentral.